Molecule: ribosomal RNA, 441 nt
Filed under: uncultured bacterium
Lineage: Bacteria
Description: bacterial SSU rRNA
Rfam family: Bacterial small subunit ribosomal RNA
Source: RNAcentral
CCUACGGGGGGCUGCAGUAAGGAAUAUUGCACAAUGGGGGAAACCCUGAUGCAGCAACGCCGCGUGAGCGAAGAAGGCCUUCGGGUCGUAAAGCUCUUUUCUGGGGGACGAGGACGGACGGUACCCCAGGAAUAAGUCUCGGCUAACUACGUGCCAGCAGCCGCGGUAAAACGUAGGAGGCGAGCGUUAUCCGGAUUUACUGGGCGUAAAGGGCAAGUAGGCGGUUGUUCAAGUUGGGCGUGACAGUUCUCGGCUUAACUGAGAGAGGACGUUCAAAACUGGGCGACUAGAGGGCAGGAGAGGGAAGCGGAAUUCCUAGUGUAGCGGUGGAAUGCUCAGAUAUUAGGAAGAACACCAGUGGCGAAAGCGGCUUCCUGGCCUGUACCUGACGCUGAGAGGCGAAAGCUAGGGUAGCAAACGGGCUUAGAUACCCGUGUAGUC